This 468-nucleotide ribosomal RNA is filed under the name uncultured bacterium. Its description in RNAcentral is "partial 16S ribosomal RNA". It matches the Rfam family "Bacterial small subunit ribosomal RNA", at positions 28 to 507 of the family's 1533-position model. The record is from RNAcentral.
GACGAACGCUGGCGGCGUGCUUAACACAUGCAAGUCGAACGGAAAGGCCCUGCUUUUGUUGGGUGCUCGAUUGGCGAACGGGUGAGUAACACGUGAGUAACCUGCCCUUGACUUUGUGAUAACUUCAGGAAACUGGGGCUAAUACCGGAUAGGAGCUCCUGCUGCAUGGUGUGGGUUGGAAAGUUUCGGCGGUUGUGGAUGGACUCGCGGCUUAUCAGCUUGUUGGUGGGGUAGUGGCUUACCAAGGCUUUGACGGGUAGCCGGCCUGAGAGGGUGACCGGCCACAUUGGGACUGAGAUACGGCCCAGAAUCCUACGGGAGGCAGCAGUGGGGAAUAUUGCACAAUGGGCGGAAGCCUGAUGCAGCAACGCCGCGUGCGGGAUGACGGCCUUCGGGUUGUAAACCGCUUUCGCCUGUGACGAAGCGUGAGUGACGGUAAUGGGUAAAGAAGCACCGGCUAACUACGUG